UUCAGGAAAUGGAGUAAAAAGAGAGACGGGUGGGCAAGGAUUGAAGAGGCUAUGGGUGUGGGGGUACCAAGACAACAAAAGACGAUAUAGGAUGCUGACAGGUACUUGGGAUAAGACGCCCUGGGAGGGUAUCUACUAGUGGUCCCUAGGAGAGGCGAAGAGUCUGCUAGUACUGUAGGACGGCUCCGCGCUGGGGUAUGGAGGCUAGGAAGUGAGAAGAAACUCAGAGGUGAGCAGUCCGCGGGUAAGGGUCCCUGGAAUUCGUUAAGGGGAAGAAAUGGGCUUGACUUGGCUCUAAAGCAGUGCCACGGGGUCCUGUCAGUCCAUUUCAAACAGGGGGAGGGGGAAGGGCGAGGAGAAUCUUGGGCGAUGAGGAAUAGAGUCUCAGGGCUGGAAUGGGAGGUUGGGGAAAAAUUUCAGGAUUAGGGUCCGAACAAUUCCAAACUCGGAAGGCGGCUCUGGAUUGUGCCGGACUCUCCCAGGAAAAGGGCAAGGGACUGUAUACACAGGACUGUCAGAAGAGCAGAGCGCUUCAGCACCAGAGUCCGGACAGCUCCCCGCCUUCAAUUUCAUCCGCGGCGAAGCCAGAUUCUUCUGCAAAGAACAUUCCAGAGACAUGCUUUUAUGGAGAGCCAAAACAGAGCCCGAUUGUUCGAACAACUAAGCCUGCCAAGCAGGAACCGUCUUAUCUAACUAGGGUGCCCACUGCAGUUGCAGGAGAGAGCUAGUUGACCUUCCGUCAACAAGAACAAGGGGGACUGCAAUGCCCACCAGGAAGAAACUGAGUCCUGAAAAUGUAUAGUGACUUGCCUAACAAAGUUCCAGAGCCCAGGAAUAGAAGCCAGGCCUCCAGGAUCUUAAUUAGGAAUAGAUCUGAUGACUGAAUUAAGAUCUCAUUUAGAUAAAUCACAAUUUCAAAAUGGAACCUUCUACAUCUCUUUUCUCCAUUAACUGUCUGUGUGACCCUGAAAGGAAGAAUGGAGACACAGAAAGGGGAAUAUCAAUGCCACAGAAUCAGAAUCAGAAGGUACCUCAGAGACCAUUGGGUCCAACUCAUAAAUGACCAGGAAUUCCCUCUACAAUCUGCCCAUCCAAUAGUUAUCCAGGCUCUACUUAAAGAUUUCCACUGAGGAGGAACCCUCUUCCCAUUUUCUGCAACAGAUUGAAUUCCUUUUAUAUUUUUAAUCUUCAGAAUCUUUCUACUGUAGCUACUAUUACCCGCCUACAAACACAACCACAUCCCUAUCCUUAAAAAAUCAACCUUACUAGUAUCUGCCACAUAGGUCCUUUUCACACACAAAUUCCUAGAAAUUAUCUCCACUAAUUGUCUCUACUUUUUCUGCCAUCCACUUCAACUCUGUAAUCUGACUUCCAGUCUCAUCACUCAACUGAAGCUAUUUUCUCCAAAGUGACCUCUUACUUACCAAACAUGUUAGCCUUUUCUCAAUCUUCAUUCUUCUUGACUUCUCCAUAAUAACCUUUGGCCAUUCUCACCUCUCCUGGUUAUUUUCUCCUCUCCAGGUUUUUAUAUUGUUUUCUCUUGCUUCUCUUACCUCUUCAACAUCUUUUCUUCCUUUAUUAGUUCAUGAUCCAGAUAGGGCCUCCUAACUGUGUACACCCCCAAACCUUGCCCCUUCUCUUUUUUUUAAACUCUUUUGCCCAUUAGAACUCUUUGAGAGCAAUGACUGACUUCGAUUUUUGUAUCCCCAUUGCUUGCUUAGUAUAUUGCUUGGCACAUAGUAUGCACUUAAUAAAUAUUUAUUAACUAA
Antechinus flavipes (yellow-footed antechinus) is the source of this 1769-nucleotide long non-coding RNA. RefSeq lists it as uncharacterized. The record is from RefSeq and is a predicted model, not a curated record. The transcript is spliced from 5 exons. NCBI's taxonomy places the organism in Eukaryota, Metazoa, Chordata, Mammalia, Dasyuromorphia, Dasyuridae.